Molecule: long non-coding RNA, 519 nt
Filed under: Lathyrus oleraceus (garden pea)
Lineage: Eukaryota; Viridiplantae; Streptophyta; Magnoliopsida; Fabales; Fabaceae
Description: Pisum sativum (pea) long non-coding RNA (PSAT_LNC001001)
Source: RNAcentral
UUGAUGUUGUUGUUUACUUGUGCACACUGAUAUGAUAAAUGAAACUUUGUUUUCUUUUGUUUUUUUAGCCAGUUAGCCAAAAAGUCAACCCUAAAAUAAUUGUAUCCCUUGUUUGAAACCCCCUUGAGCCUAUUAUCGUUAUUUUAUAUUUAAAACUCAUUACAAGUCGAGAAGUGAAAAACAAUGUUAUCACCCUACUCAAAGGAUUGAAAGAGUCUUGUUUGGAGUUAUGUGAGGUUGAAUAAUUAUGUUUGUAAUAUUUCAGAUGUUGGCAAAAAAAGAAGAAAAAAAAUAGAAAAGAAAAAAAAAGGAAUGAAAAAAUAGAAGGAUAAGUAAGAGGAAGAAAAAAUAGAAGGAUAAGAGGAAGAAAAAAAAAAGAAUUAUGUUUAUAAUAUUUCAAUACAUGUCAAUACAUACUCCUUCAAAAAAAAGAAUAAAAAGAGGAAGGAGAAGAGAAACCAAUUGUUAUAGAGUUGUUCAAGUGAAUGAAAUAUUUUGUAAAUUCAACUCCUGCAGUUU